GUUUUAAUAAUUUAAUCAAAAUACUGGUCUUGUAAACCAGAAAUAAGAAUUCUCUUUUAAAACU
RNAcentral lists this transfer RNA (64 nucleotides) under Eucryptorrhynchus brandti. Its description in RNAcentral is "tRNA-Thr". It matches the Rfam family "tRNA". Rfam says of the family: Transfer RNA (tRNA) molecules are approximately 80 nucleotides in length. The record is from RNAcentral. Lineage: Eukaryota; Metazoa; Arthropoda; Insecta; Coleoptera; Curculionidae.